ACUCCUACGGGAGGCAGCAGUGGGGAAUAUUGGACAAUGGGCGCAAGCCUGAUCCAGCCAUGCCGCGUGUGUGAAGAAGGUCUUCGGAUUGUAAAGCACUUUAAGUUGGGAGGAAGGGCGCUUGGCUAAUACCCAAGGGUUUUGACGUUACCAACAGAAUAAGCACCGGCUAACUUCGUGCCAGCAGCCGCGGUAAU
RNAcentral lists this ribosomal RNA (197 nucleotides) under uncultured bacterium tbr4-118. Its description in RNAcentral is "partial 16S ribosomal RNA". It matches the Rfam family "Bacterial small subunit ribosomal RNA", at positions 335 to 524 of the family's 1533-position model. The record is from RNAcentral.